UAAGCGUGCGCAGGCGGUUUUGUAAGUCUGAUGUGAAAUCCCCGGGCUCAACCUGGGAAUUGCAUUGGAGACUGCAAGGCUAGAAUCUGGCAGAGGGGGGUAGAAUUCCACGUGUAGCAGUGAAAUGCGUAGAUAUGUGGAGGAACACCGAUGGCGAAGGCAGCCCCCUGGGUCAAGAUUGACGCUCAUGCACGAAAGCGUGGGGAGCAAACAGGAUUAGAUACCCUAGU
RNAcentral lists this ribosomal RNA (230 nucleotides) under uncultured bacterium. RNAcentral's name for it is "partial 16S ribosomal RNA". It matches the Rfam family "Bacterial small subunit ribosomal RNA", at positions 563 to 791 of the family's 1533-position model. The record is from RNAcentral.